Long non-coding RNA from Microtus oregoni (creeping vole), 213 nucleotides. RefSeq lists it as uncharacterized. The transcript has 3 exons. The record is from RefSeq and is a predicted model, not a curated record. NCBI's taxonomy places the organism in Eukaryota, Metazoa, Chordata, Mammalia, Rodentia, Cricetidae.
AAGACAGCAGAAGUUGCAGCCGUCAGGCAUGGCAGCUAAUUACACAAAUCUCGUCUACAAAGGCUGCUGUCAGGAAUAAUCCCUGAGCUAGCCAGCACGUUAGCAUCGACGCUCCCUGGGUUUUACCUUUAGCCCAGAGGUUCUUGUUGUAUCAGCGCCAGCGGGACCUGGAGAGAGUUCCUGCUUUACUCUUUGUACCAGAAUCCAUCCCUG